AAGUCGGGUAUGCAUACCCGUUUGCAUGUACUUUAUGAAUAAGGAUCGGCUAACUCCGUGCCAGCAGCCGCGGUAAUACGGAGGAUCCGAGCGUUAUCCGGAUUUAUUGGGUUUAAAGGGAGCGUAGAUGGAUGUUUAAGUCAGUUGUGAAAGUUUGCGGCUCAACCGUAAAAUUGCAGUUGAUACUGGAUGUCUUGAGUGCAGUUGAGGCAGGCGGAAUUCGUGGUGUAGCGGUGAAAUGCUUAGAUAUCACGAAGAACUCCGAUUGCGAAGGCAGCCUGCUAAGCUGCAACUGACAUUGAGGCUCGAAAGUGUGGGUAUCAAACAGGAUUAGAUACCCUGGUAGUCCACACGGUAAACGAUGAAUACUCGCUGUUUGCGAUAUACGGCAAGCGGCCAAGCGAAAGCGUUAAGUAUUCCACCUGGGGAGUACGCCGGCAACGGUGAAACUCAAAGGAAUUGACGGGGGCCCGCACAAGCGGAGGAACAUGUGGUUUAAUUCGAUGAUACGCGAGGAACCUUACCCGGGCUUAAAUUGCACUCGAAUGAUCCGGAAACGGUUCAGCUAGCAAUAGCGAGUGUGAAGGUGCUGCAUGGUUGUCGUCAGCUCGUGCCGUGAGGUGUCGGCUUAAGUGCCAUAACGAGCGCAACCCUUGUUGUCAGUUACUAACAGGUGAUGCUGAGGACUCUGACAAGACUGCCAUCGUAAGAUGUGAGGAAGGUGGGGAUGACGUCAAAUCAGCACGGCCCUUACGUCCGGGGCUACACACGUGUUACAAUGGGGGGUACAGAGGGCCGCUACCACGCGAGUGGAUGCCAAUCCCUAAAACCCCUCUCAGUUCGGACUGGAGUCUGCAACCCGACUCCACGAAGCUGGAUUCGCUAGUAAUCGCGCAUCAGCCACGGCGCGGUGAAUACGUUCCCGGGCCUUGUACACACCGCCCGUCAAGCCAUGGGAGCCGGGGGUACCUGAAGUGCGUAACCGCGAGGAUCGCCCUAGGGUAAAACUGGUGACUGGGGCUAAGUCUAACCAAGGUAA
RNAcentral lists this ribosomal RNA (1039 nucleotides) under uncultured Bacteroides sp. RNAcentral's name for it is "bacterial SSU rRNA". It matches the Rfam family "Bacterial small subunit ribosomal RNA", at positions 449 to 1499 of the family's 1533-position model. Lineage: Bacteria; Pseudomonadati; Bacteroidota; Bacteroidia; Bacteroidales; Bacteroidaceae. The record is from RNAcentral.